Molecule: long non-coding RNA, 564 nt
Organism: Amphimedon queenslandica
Lineage: Eukaryota; Metazoa; Porifera; Demospongiae; Haplosclerida; Niphatidae
Exons: 3
Source: RefSeq, a predicted model, not a curated record
CAACUUGUGCCACGCCCUAUACUUUCCAGGAUCACGUUUUAAUCAUGUGAUCUUGUUUUGCACGUGGCUAGCUUAAAUGAAAUCAAUUGAGAAGUGAGGAUAGUUGAAAAACCGUGAAAAAUUCAAUAACUUGGAAAGUCAUGAGUGGAACCUCCAGUGGAUUGAGUGGAACUAUUGAGAAGCCAUUUUUAUCUUUAUUGAAGAGCUAUAAAGUCUCCUCUGCAACGUGACGUUCUGCAGGAGGAGCAAAUACUUUCCCUGGAAACUUUUAUUUCGUUAGAGGAGGAACAUUUUUCUUUACUUGCCAAGAAGUUGAGAGUUGGGCAGCAUGCUAUUUUGCGACGUUUGUGGUGCCAUAAGAAACCUUUUUCUUGCACUGACCCACCUCUUGGCUCUCCUUCCUCUCUUUCAUCAUCAUCAAGUGGACGUUGGCAGAGAUCACUGUCCCCGGCUCCUAUAAAUGUACCAGAUGACUCACUUCAGGAAAGUAUAACGGAAUUGGCUGAUAUGUAUAAACAGCGCCAAUCACAAUCAGUAAAUAGUGAGACCAAAGGCCAAAGGAUG